CAAUAGCGUAUAUUAAAGUUGUUGCAGUUAAAAAGCUCGUAGUUGGAUUUGUGGCGUACGGCGUGUUCCGGGAACUUGUUGUCUGAGUAACCUGCUGUUGCCAUCCUUGGGUGGAACCUGUGUGGCAUUAGGUUGUCGUGCAGGGGAUGCCCAUCAUUUACUGUGAAAAAAUUAGAGUGUUCAAAGCAGGCUUAUGCCGUUGAAUAUAUUAGCAUGGAAUAAUGAGAUAGGACUUUUUUGCUAUUUUGUUGGUUUGCGCAAGGAGGUAAUGAUUAAUAGGGACAGUUGGGGGUAUUCGUAUUCCAUUGUCAGAGGUGAAAUUCUUGGAUUUUUGGAAGACGAACUACUGCGAAAGCAUUUACCAAGGAUGUUUUCAUUAA
RNAcentral lists this ribosomal RNA (380 nucleotides) under uncultured eukaryote. RNAcentral's name for it is "partial 18S ribosomal RNA". It matches the Rfam family "Eukaryotic small subunit ribosomal RNA", at positions 592 to 976 of the family's 1831-position model. The record is from RNAcentral.